UGUUGGGUAGCAGGGAUGGUGGCGCAGUGACGUCACUCACAAAGCUUUCAGAAACUUGUCUUGCCUUUCCUACAUCACUGGAAGGACAAGUGGCCUCAAAUUCAAUUUGGUCUGCACCCCAUGGAGACGUUAGGAGCCGGACUUCGCAAAUCGAAACGCAAAUGCUUCUUUCAUCGCGCGUUCGCGUUUGAAACGCCAUCUUUUCACGCGUAGGGAGGCAUGAAGCGCAAGAACGAGCGACGGAACGAGUCGAGGAAAAGACUACGAGCGUCUCUGAGGGAGCAGACGGAUUCCAAGCGCGAUAUUUACCUUCGUAUCACAGAUCAGCUGUAUUUUGCUCUUCUUCAUCAGAAGGUGAAGAGCAGUCCUGACAGACACUGUUUCUGCAUCGAUGAAGAGCUUUCCUAUGAGAACUUCUAUUCGGACUUUGGCCCGCUCAACCUGGCCAUGUUUUAUCGCUUCUGUUGCAAACUCAACAAGAAGCUGAAGUCUUGUGCUCUUGCAAAGAAGACAAUUGUGUUUUAUACCUGUGGUGACCGAAAGAAACAAGCCAAUGCUGCGUAUUUGAUCGGCUCUUAUGCUGUAAUGCAUCUACAGAAAACACCAGAAGAAGCGUACAGCCUUCUGCUCUCUCAAAAUGGAUCUUAUCUUCCUUUUCGAGAUGCAUCCUUUGGAGCGUGCAUGUUCAAUCUGAAUAUCCUUGACUGUCUACGGGCCGUUCACAAGGCUCUCCAGUUCGGCUGGCUGGAUUUCUCCAAGUUUAAUGUGGAGGAAUAUGAACAUUAUGAGCGGGCAGAAAAUGGAGAUUUCAACUGGAUAAUUCCAGGAAAGUUUUUGGCUUUUAGCGGCCCUCAUCCAAAUAGCAAAAUUGAGAAUGGAUACCCUCUUCAUGCCCCUGAAGCGUAUUUCCCCUACUUCAGGAAGCACAACAUCACUGACAUCAUCCGGCUCAACAAGAAAAUGUACGAUGCCAAGCGUUUCACAGACAUGGGCUUCAAGCACCACGACCUGUUCUUCGUAGACGGCAGUACGCCCAACGAUGCCAUCGUCACCAAAUUCCUGAACAUUUGCGAGAAUGCAGAUGGAGCCAUUGCGGUCCACUGCAAAGCCGGUUUGGGCCGAACAGGGACACUGAUUGGCUGUUACAUGAUGAAACACUUCAGACUGAUGGCAGCUGAGGUUAUCGCGUGGAUCAGGAUCUGCAGACCCGGUUCGAUCAUCGGACCUCAGCAGAACUUCAUAGACAAAAAGCAGGCGAGUCUGUGGGCAGAGGGUGAUUUGUACCGUCAAAAAAUAAAUGAGCAGGAAAACGGAUCGAGUAAAACACUAGUGGCUGGAAUCCUAUUAGGAGUGGAAGAUAUUUCCAUUAAUGGUACAAACAAGAACAUUUCACAGAGAAAAACAGCCUCUGAGACGCACACUGAGGAAGAGGAAGAGGAGUGCAUGGGACUCACGCAAGGUGACAAACUGAGAGCUCUGAAGAGUAAGAGGCAGUCCAGAGCAUCUACGGGGUCAAUAUCGUUAGAAGAAAAUACUAUUCACACCAAAUCAACACCAAAUACAUUAAGCUCAGAUAAAAGGAAAAGAACUUGGGCUUCCCUUGGAUCCAGCAGGACCAGUAGCCCUUUACAAUCAAGGCUCGCUAAAUCUUUAGGCAGCUUGCACAUAAUGGUCUGUGAAAAGGAUCAUAUGUUUUCUGAUUCAGUGGCCAACAAUAUUUGCAUCAAGGAGUCAAACUUGCUGACGGGAAGAGCAGGGAUCUCUGGUGUUUGCUUGCACACUGUCUGCUGAUGGAUGAUUCACGUUAAAUGACUCUUACAGGAUCCCAAGCACUCUCAGUCUUAACUCCAUCCCCAAAGCUCGAGCUCCUCUCCUCCGCUGAAGGAUCCACUAAAGACCAACACCACUGAUAUCACUAUCACUUUACUCCUAGUCUUUACUGAGAAAUCGGCAGAUGUUAACCAUUUUUUUUUUGAUCAAGAGAAAGCAAGGAGUUUAUUUUUAAAUCAGAGAGCUUUAUGCAUCUGUGAAGUUUGACUUUAUGCCAUUGUAAACAUCAUGAGUGUCAGAAGCUGCCUUUGCCAUUAUGCAUUGUUACUUAACCUGUAAUAUUGUUUUUUAAUAAUGUUGCUAGAAGUUUAUUAAUACUUACAGAAAUGUGACAGACUGUAAAUAACCGAAUGUGAAUCAUACUGUGCUACCCGUAAAUGAAAGCUGUAUAUAUGCUGGAGUUUGAUAGACUAAAAUUACGGUUUUUUUUUUUUUUUUUUUUUUUACUGUAAAUAAUGCAUACCUUUAUUUUGACGAUGAAAUUUAAAUCAUGAUUAUUUCACAUAUGAUUCAAAUCCUUUCCUAUUAUAUCUCUUUUAAUAAAUCCUUUCUGCUAUGCAAAUGUGGUUCUUGAAUGAACAUCAAUAUAUGUUUCUAUGUUUACUUGGAUUUAUCCUCCUGUCCCUUAACAGCAUUUUUUAUAUAAA
RNA transcript from Carassius gibelio (silver crucian carp), 2477 nucleotides. It is a transcript of the gene named dual specificity protein phosphatase CDC14A, with no coding region annotated. The transcript has 16 exons. NCBI's taxonomy places the organism in Eukaryota, Metazoa, Chordata, Actinopteri, Cypriniformes, Cyprinidae. The record is from RefSeq and is a predicted model, not a curated record.